GACAGAGGGUGCAAGCGUUGUUCGGAAUUACUGGGCGUAAAGCGCGUGUAGGCGGUGUCGCAUGUCGGGUGUGAAAGCCCCAGGCUCAACUUGGGAAGUGCAUCCGAAACUGUGAUGCUGGAGUGCAAGAGAGGAAGGUGGAAUUCCUGGUGUAGAGGUGAAAUUCGUAGAUAUCAGGAGGAACACCGAUGGCGAAGGCAGCCUUCUGGCUUGUUACUGACGUUGAGACGCGAAAGCGUGGGGAGCAAAC
Molecule: ribosomal RNA, 250 nt
Filed under: uncultured bacterium
Lineage: Bacteria
Description: partial 16S ribosomal RNA
Rfam family: Bacterial small subunit ribosomal RNA
Source: RNAcentral